AAUAGUUAACUUUGAAACUGCGAAUGGCUCAUUAUAUCAGUUAUAGUUUAUUUGAUGAAGAAUCACUAAUUGGAUAAUCCGUAGUAAUUCUAGAGCUAAUACAUGUAUAAAGUCUUGUAGACUGCAUUUAUUAGAAUGAAAACCAUAGGUUUCGGCCUAUUCGUGAGUAAUAAUAACUAAUCAUAUCGUAUGCUUAUGUAACGAUGUGUCUUUCAAGUUUCUGCCCUAUCAGCUUUCGAUGGUAGUGUAUUGGACUACCAUGGCGGUAACGGGUAACGAAGAAUUUGGGUUC
RNAcentral lists this ribosomal RNA (292 nucleotides) under Blastocystis sp. Its description in RNAcentral is "partial small subunit ribosomal RNA". It matches the Rfam family "Eukaryotic small subunit ribosomal RNA", at positions 69 to 378 of the family's 1831-position model. The record is from RNAcentral. Lineage: Eukaryota; Bigyra; Opalinata; Blastocystidae.